Molecule: long non-coding RNA, 1057 nt
Filed under: Junco hyemalis (dark-eyed junco)
Lineage: Eukaryota; Metazoa; Chordata; Aves; Passeriformes; Passerellidae
Description: lncRNA (ENSJHYG00000013108.1)
Source: RNAcentral
UUAAUCCCAUUGAUCCCAAUGACCUCAUUGACUGCAUUGAUCCCAUUGAUCCCAAUGACCUCACUGAUCCCAUUAACCCCAUUGACUUCCUUCAUCCCAUUGAUCCCAAUGACCCCAUUGAUCCCCAUGACUCCAAUUAUCCCAUUAAUCCCGUUGAUCUCAUUCAUUGCAAUGAUCCCAUUGGCCCCAUUGACUCCAUUGAUCCCAUUGAUCCCCAUGACCCCAUUGAUCCCAUUGACUGAAACGACCCCACAGCUACCUGGGCCGGAAGCGGCUGGAGCCGGAGCGCUCGGAGCGCGGCGUCUGUCCCUGUCCCAUUGAUCCCAUUGAUCCAUUGAUCCCAAUGACCCCAUUGAUCCCAAUGACACCAGUGAUCCCAUUGACUGUAAUGAUCCAAAUCCCACUGAUCUCACUGAUCCCAUUGACCACAUUGGUGCUAUUGAUCCCAUUCAUUCUAAUGAUAACAGUGACACCAUUGGUAUCAUUGAUCCCAUUGACUCCAUUGAUCCCAAUGACUUCAUUGAUACCAAUUAUACCAUUAAUCGCAUUGAUCCCAGUGACUCCAUUGAUCCCAUUGACUGCAUUGAUCUCGUUUGUUGCAAUUAUACCAAUGAUCCCAUUGAUCCCAAUGUCCCCAUUGACCCUAAUUAUCCCAUUAAUUCCAUUGAUUCCAAUGACCCCAUUGAUCCCAUUGAUCCCAUUCAUCGCAAUGAUACCAAUGAUCCCAUUGGCCCCAUUGAUCCCAAUGACCUCAUUCAUCCCAUUCAUCCCAAUGAUACCAUUAAUCUUAUUGAUCCCAAUGACCCCACUGACCCCAUUGACCUCAUGCAUCCCAAUCAUCUCAUUGAUCCCAAUUAUCCUAUUAAUCCCAUUGACCCCCAUGACCCCAUUGAUCUCACUGACCCCAUUGACUGAAAUAACCCUGCUGGCCCCACAGCUACCUGGGCCGGAAGCGGCUGGAGCCGGAGCGCCCGCAAGCUGCUGGCGGCCGAGCCCCUGGGCAAGAUGAUCCCCGUGGACGAGUUCCUGCCCCUCAUGUUCGACCGGCACCCCAGGU